Long non-coding RNA from Herpailurus yagouaroundi (jaguarundi), 574 nucleotides. RefSeq lists it as uncharacterized. The transcript is spliced from 2 exons. The record is from RefSeq and is a predicted model, not a curated record. NCBI's taxonomy places the organism in Eukaryota, Metazoa, Chordata, Mammalia, Carnivora, Felidae.
GGGGGGGGGGAAGGACACAGGCAAAGGGGGAGGGGUUCUGGGAUUUCUGGCACAGACCACCUCUUUUUGUGUCCCCCAUCCCCGCCGGGGUGCCCUCAGUUGGGCGGUCAGCAGUGGCAGACCUGGCCUGGAGGCAACUGGGGACACCCUGGGGGGGGGAGCGCUGGGGACCUCACCGGGGGCCUCUCUGAGACCAGAAUCCUUUGGGGUCCAUCUCUAGAGCUUCCCAGGGAUCCCCCUCCCUCCCACCACCCCAGAACUGGCAGAAAGGAAGAGGACCAUCCGGUCAGAAACCAGCUAAGUGGUCUCGAGGAACUGUUCCGGCACCCAUCGGGUGGGAUAGCACCAAGGAUCCGGAUGGAGGAAGAGGCCUGGAAACCCACACGGCCCAACAGCAAGUUUUCUAGCAGUUGGAGAUGAAAAUGUCGCCCCGAAGCCCAAGCUCAAGGACGCGUGGCCCCCUCUCCUCGUCACCCUGAACCUCCAAUCCUGUUUCCACUUGGGGAGUCACCUGGUCUUCAAGUGCCCCCUGAGGCACAUCAGCCUUUCAAUAAAGCCUUUAACCUCUGUUUGA